CUACGUGCCAGCAGCCGCGGUAAUACGGAGGGUGCGAGCGUUAAUCGGAAUAACUGGGCGUAAAGGGCACGCAGGCGGUGACUUAAGUGAGGUGUGAAAGCCCCGGGCUUAACCUGGGAAUUGCAUUUCAUACUGGGUCGCUAGAGUACUUUAGGGAGGGGUAGAAUUCCACGUGUAGCGGUGAAAUGCGUAGAGAUGUGGAGGAAUACCGAAGGCGAAGGCAGCCCCUUGGGAAUGUACUGACGCUCAUGUGCGAAAGCGUGGGGAGCAAACAGGAUUAGAUACCCUGGUAGUCCACGCUGUAAACGAUGUCGAUUUGGGGGUUGAGCUUUGAGCUUGGCGCCCGUAGCUAACGUGAUAAAUCGACCGCCUGGGGAGUACGGCCGCAAGGUUAAAACUCAAAUGAAUUGACGGGGGCCCGCACAAGCGGUGGAGCAUGUGGUUUAAUUCGAUGCAACGCGAAGAACCUUAUCUACUCUUGACAUCCAGAGAACAUUC
RNAcentral lists this ribosomal RNA (498 nucleotides) under uncultured bacterium. RNAcentral describes it as "bacterial SSU rRNA". It matches the Rfam family "Bacterial small subunit ribosomal RNA", at positions 501 to 1000 of the family's 1533-position model. The record is from RNAcentral.